Molecule: ribosomal RNA, 854 nt
Filed under: Curvularia ellisii
Lineage: Eukaryota; Fungi; Ascomycota; Dothideomycetes; Pleosporales; Pleosporaceae
Description: eukaryotic LSU rRNA
Rfam family: Eukaryotic large subunit ribosomal RNA
Source: RNAcentral
CAACAGGGAUUGCCCUAGUAACGGCGAGUGAAGCGGCAACAGCUCAAAUUUGAAAUCUGGCUCUUUUAGAGUCCGAGUUGUAAUUUGCAGAGGGCGCUUUGGCUUUGGCAGCGGUCCAAGUUCCUUGGAACAGGACGUCACAGAGGGUGAGAAUCCCGUACGUGGUCGCUAGCUAUUGCCGUGUAAAGCCCCUUCGACGAGUCGAGUUGUUUGGGAAUGCAGCUCUAAAUGGGAGGUAAAUUUCUUCUAAAGCUAAAUAUUGGCCAGAGACCGAUAGCGCACAAGUAGAGUGAUCGAAAGAUGAAAAGCACUUUGGAAAGAGAGUCAAACAGCACGUGAAAUUGUUGAAAGGGAAGCGCUUGCAGCCAGACUUGCUUGCAGUUGCUCAUCCGGGCUUUUGCCCGGUGCACUCUUCUGCAGGCAGGCCAGCAUCAGUUUGGGCGGUGGGAUAAAGGUCUCUGACACGUUCCUUCCUUCGGGUUGGCCAUAUAGGGGAGACGUCAUACCACCAGCCUGGACUGAGGUCCGCGCAUCUGCUAGGAUGCUGGCGUAAUGGCUGUAAGCGGCCCGUCUUGAAACACGGACCAAGGAGUCUAACAUCUAUGCGAGUGUUUGGGUGUCAAGCCCGAGCGCGUAAUGAAAGUGAACGGAGGUGGGAACCCGCAAGGGUGCACCAUCGACCGAUCCUGAAGUUUACGGAAGGAUUUGAGUAAGAGCAUGGCUGUUGGGACCCGAAAGAUGGUGAACUAUGCUUGAAUAGGGUGAAGCCAGAGGAAACUCUGGUGGAGGCUCGCAGCGGUUCUGACGUGCAAAUCGAUCGUCAAAUUUGGGCAUAGGGGCGAAAGACUAAUCGA